CCGCCGCGGCGAGAGCAGCUGCCCACGGGCACUCAGCGCGGCGCCGGGCGGGCACUAAGCCCCGGCGGGCGGCACGGCCCCUUCUCCCCGCCCCUCUCCCGCAACUUUCUGGGUGCUCCUCCGGCACCCAUGGCAACGCGCAUGAGCCUUCCCCCACCGCCGGGCCGGGGGGAAGGAAUUAACUGGCGAAAUUAAUCCUUUCCCCUAAACGGUGCAGGAAUGACCCGCUCUCAGUGUCGCGCCUGGCGUCCCUGCGCGGAGGGGAGCGGGCAGCAGCAAGUGCCGAGGUGCGGACCGUGGCCAGGUCCCUCCUGAGGAGCUGGAGCGGACAGGAACGCGAGCAGCGCCCCGGGGCUGGCGGGGAGCACUGAUUGCUCGGGGCUCUUCCACCUGUCUUUAGGAGAUGCGUUUCAAGAUGGGCUUCCAUGGGGAGAAUGGUGCUUCUGCGCGCAACGAACGAGUGGUGUUCAAGAAAGAAGCAAUGUUUCAGAGAUGUUACCAUGGAAACAAUGGAGUGAGGAAGCAGCUAAACAUAAAAUUCCUCCAAAGUCAUUCUCCUUGAAACAGUGAUCCACAAGGAGAUGGAAGCGUUACUGGUGGAGCUUCCAACUCAGAGACCUCUGUUCAGGUAAGCAGCUGCCACUGCACAUUAGGAAAACUUUGAGGUGAAGGAGGGCAGACCAGAUGCUACAAGCCUGAAACACUGAUUUGAUGAAGUAUUGAGAGUGCCUUUCUCUUGGAGGGUUGCACAGAGGGUCAGAUGGUAAAUGAGAUAUCCAUAUAGCCCACAACCGCAGUCAGCUGUGAGGGGAGCAUGAGGGAACUGGUCUACUGAGGCUUGGAACACUGGCGAGACCUUGCUACCAGCAAACCCUGAAGAGCAGAUCCUACCUAUACCCAGCUGGCUUGGGAGCACAUGGAAGUGAACAGCCAGGCCAAUUCACAACUGGCUGGCAGAGCACUGUGGCAUCAGACAGGUUGUAAUGAUCAUCAUAAAGUAUAUUCACUCCACAGCUUUUGAGAAAAGGUAAUUUAUACAAUUCUUUCUAUGCACACACAUCUUCAAUUAUAGC
Molecule: long non-coding RNA, 1073 nt
Filed under: Corvus moneduloides (New Caledonian crow)
Lineage: Eukaryota; Metazoa; Chordata; Aves; Passeriformes; Corvidae
Description: lncRNA (ENSCMUG00000018237.1)
Source: RNAcentral